UUCAUUGUGCCUGCUAUUGUUAAUGCGCCAAGGAACGAUGUUGAAGGCGGGGAAAUUCUCUUUGUGCCUGACCUCAGGUGAACGUGAUGGGACCGCAUGGCGUGAAAUUCACUCUCUGCGUCACCCCGGGUCUCACUCUGUGUCUCACUGUUCCUUGUUCCUGAUUUCCAGAGCAAACCUGUUCCGAGAAUUGGGUCGCAAAUAAAAACUGGUGUUAUUACGUUUCCACGUUUGUAACAACUUUAUACAAAGCGAUUCAAGAAUGUUCAAACCGUGAUUCAAGGCUGCUCGAAAUCAAUUCAAAGGAUGAAGCGAACUUUGUAUCCCGCAAUCUUGUGAACCAAACCCGCAUAUACUGGAUUGGAAAAUGCGAAAACAGGAAUGCGAGCUUCCGUCUCCUGUACAAGGGGCUUUCGGGGACGCCCUACUGCUGGCAGUGUGAUCCGACUUCAGUCAGUAGGAAGUAUCCUUGCGAUCGUGAUCAGCAUUUCAUCUGCGAGAAGUCGUUGUUGCCGGAUAUUCCUGAAAAGAUCCAGGGUCUCUGUCAACAGCCAGUGGAGGCUCGUGAAUCAAAUGACUACCUCCAGUCUCCCCUUCACUCUCACUCCCCGAUCCUUUCAGAUUCCCCGCCCACACUCUCCGCCCCUCCCUCCUACGCCAAUUCCUCCUUUUAACGCAACUAUAUUCUCCCCAGCACACACUGACAAACCUCUCUCCCCGUCCAUCCCCUUCUUUCCCUCCAUUUCCCCGUCCCGCGCUUUCUGCUCCCUCUACCUAUCUUAUUAUUACCUCGUACUUCCUCCGCCCGCAUUCUUCUGCUCCCUCUACCCUCCUUUUUCACCUC
Long non-coding RNA from Hypanus sabinus (Atlantic stingray), 844 nucleotides. RefSeq lists it as uncharacterized. NCBI's taxonomy places the organism in Eukaryota, Metazoa, Chordata, Chondrichthyes, Myliobatiformes, Dasyatidae. The transcript has 3 exons. The record is from RefSeq and is a predicted model, not a curated record.